Molecule: ribosomal RNA, 440 nt
Filed under: uncultured bacterium
Lineage: Bacteria
Description: partial 16S ribosomal RNA
Rfam family: Bacterial small subunit ribosomal RNA
Source: RNAcentral
CCUACGGGAGGCUGCAGUGGGGGAUAUUGCACAAUGGGGGGAACCCUGAUGCAGCGACGCCGCGUGGGUGAAGAAGCGCCUCGGCGCGUAAAGCUCUGUUAGUAGGGAAGAAAAUGACGGUACCUGAAGAAGAAGCCCCGGCUAACUACGUGCCAGCAGCCGCGGGAAUACGUAGGGGGCAAGCGUUAUCCGGAUUUACUGGGGGUAAAGGGGGCGCAGGCGGGGUUGCAAGCCAGGAGUGAAAGCCCGGGGCCCAACCCCGGGAGUGCUGUUGGAACUGCGUGGCUGGAGUGCAGGAGGGGCAGGCGGAAUUCCUGGUGUAGCGGUGAAAUGCGUAGAUAUCAGGAGGAACACCGGUGGCGAAGGCAGCCUGCUGGACUGCAACUGACGUUGAGGCCCGAAAGCGUGGGGAGCAAACAGGAUUAGAUACCCCUGUAGUC